CGGCGGCGGCGGCGGCAGCGACGGCGGCAGCGACGGCGUGCGGGGCGGGGGCGCCGCCGGGGCGAAGGGGGGUUUUCUCCCACUCCCACGCCCCCGGCCACACCCCCCCCGAGCGCUCGCGCGUGGGCAGGCGGCGCAGGCGCGCACCGUCGCGUGCGGUUCCCCCCUCCCCCCGCCCCGCGGAAACACGCGCGCGCACAGAGCUCGUCUAAACAAAGUCCUGUCGCUUCACCUAUUCUGCGCGUGGGGGGUGGGGGGAGGGGGCGGGGCCGGGUCACGUGCGCCUCCGGAGGCGGGGAGAGCCCCGCCGAGGCGCGUGCACCCGCCCUUCACAGUGCCGCCGCGUAGUGGGGCCGGGGUCUCGCGCGGCGGAGGUGGGUGGUGGUUGGUUGCGCAUGCGCCCGCGGGCGGUGGGCGGUGCAGGUGGCGGAGCGGCGCGAGGAGCAAUUUGUAACCGGUAAAGCGGCGGCGGAGCUCCCCGGCAGCGCGCCGCGACCCGCUCCGCCGGAGGGCGAGGGAGGGGUGGCGGGAGUUGCCGUCUCCGCCGCCCUCUACCCGCCUGUCGGCCGGGUGACGCGAGCCCGCCAGCCGCGAGAGCGGUUUAACGGCCGCCCUGGACCCCGGCGAGGCGCGGAGCGGGCCGGGGGAGGAGCGCUGGGCGGCGGCGGCGGCCCGGCCUUGCGCAGGUCCUUUCCCCCGCACGCCCGGCCCCGGAGCGACGAGGGCGGCCCCCGCCGGCAGUCUGGGCAGCCCUGCGGGGCCCGGCCGCGGCGCUGCCUUCCUGCCCCAGCCGCUCCGGCGGGCAGUUAGGCGCCCUCUUUUGCUUACAGGGCGGCGCUGUGUUUUGGCACCAGCCGUGUCUUGUUUGUCGGGUUUGGAUGGGAGACGUGAUGGGAGCAGCAGUAUCCGCCAGCCAGAGCCAAAAUUAACGUGCUCCAUCCACUGUAGCCGCAGAGGCAAAGCAGCGCGACGCGGUUGCUUAAUUUUGCUCAAAUUCAGAAGUCACAAGAUAUAUAAGGAUUAAAAAAAAAAAAAAAAACCACACCAAAAACCACACACCGCUGGAAAUUGCAGGUAAGUCCUCUCAACACUCAUCUUUUGCGGUGAACACUAAAAAUGAGCAAUCUUCCUUUCUCCUAAGGCUGUUUCUGAAGCGUUGUCACAUCUUAUCUGAAGGCAGUGGGGUGAAGCCAUGUGUCUUCAAGAAAGUACUUUCUUGAGUCUGCUUAAUCUUUAGGCUGGGAUUUUUUCCAAAUGGAUUCCUGCAUAAAUUUACCUUCUUUUCUUCCUUCCCAAAAGACAUUUCCUAUAGCUGAAUCACCACACUCUAAAGGGAAUGUGCCACUCUGCCUACGCUAUGAGAAGUCUAGCUGUUUCCAGACUAGUGUAACACAGUCAUCUCGCAGACAGAAGAUUUCCUGGCUGCAUCUCUUCUAAGAAGUCAAACAAACAGGACCAGGACCCAGCUGUGACUGUAAGGCCAGGCAUCCUGCGCUGGCCAUGUUCAUACGGUUAAGAUUUCAUCCAGCACAGAGUGGUCACCUAUGAACUGUGCCCAGGAAGUCUUUGGGAAAGUGCUAGUUGUCCUUGGAGGAAAAUGUCCCUGGGGAUGUUCUGACGCUUGAACAGCACGGACACCUGGAUGCACUCUCCGGCACUGCUUAAUUUCUCAGCGCAGACGUAAUCCCCAUGUAGUUAGAGCAGGGUGUGGGAUUGUUCUAUUGUUAAGUGCCCCUAUUAGUGAGAAAUAACUGUUUUUCCUUUCUUCCUCCUCUUAUCUGCUACAUCUGUUUGGAUUAUGGUGUCACUGGUAAAAAUCCUCUUCCUGUUACGCGUAUUAGAGUAAGAUCGUAGCUUUAAAGUUAUUACACAGUAUACUAAUUAGAGUAGCAACAAAAAGAUUGCCAAAAUUUAGAAAAGCCUGAUAAAAGAAAGGGAAACCUUCGGAUCCCCAUACAAAUAUAUGUGUAUUUCUGUAAGUGUGAAUGUGUAAAUAUAUAGAGAUAUCUAGUAUACACAGACACAUACUAAAUGUGGUGUGUGAAAAUAUAUAUAUAUUUAAAUAUACUAUGCAAGAGAGUUCUGCCCUCACUGUAUCCCUCUGCCAGCAGAAUUAAGAAAACAAUCUGUUACACAGCUAUUUGACAGAAGUGUUAUAGUUAAUUAGAUAAACUUAUUCUUGCAUCAUGAAUGACACUUCUAAAAACCUAGACACAUUUCCACAAAGGCAUAUAUGACAUUUCACUCAAAACUGACAGUGUUUCACAGAGAAAAUAGUAGUAGCUAGUCUCUUUCUGUUGAUCUGGUAUGUAACCUGAUCUUAAAAGAUAAUUUAAAAUUGUAACAUGGACUAUUUAUGAAGGAUGAAAUUAACCUCAGAGGUGAGGGGCGACACAAGAAGAGUAGAGCCCAAGCACAGGACAGCUGUUUUAAUGGCUAUGUACUUGAGACUGAAUUUCUAACAGUGGUAGCUGUGCAUGAAACAAGAAAGGUAGUAAAGAAAACAGCAAAGGACAACAGUAACUGCACCAACAGGGACCUUAAAACUACAAUAAAACAAAAAAAAGCAAGCCUGUAAAUUGGAAACAUUACACCAGGAAUUCAAAAAACUAUAAAUCUUUUUCGCUUUUCUUCUAGGAAUCAUAGUUCCAAGUAAAAUUAGGUGAAAUAGCCAAGAAAUAAGCAAAGCAGGUGUCUAAUCACACUUCAAAACAGGUGUCUACAAAUACUGCAGACUUGCUUUGGGUUUACCAGCACUUGGAAGCUCCAUCAAGAAUGUACAUUUAGCACCAGAUGCCAACACUUCCAGGCACAAAUGUAUUAAAUAAAUACUACAGUGUGCAGCAGAACUUCCUCAAGCGAUGGUAAAUGAUGUAACUUUUGCAGUACAUCCUCCCUUAGUCCAGGGAAAGGGGGGAAAAAGUGACAGGGCCAAGCACUUGUUAAGGCCCUUCAGACCUGAUUAAACUCAAAUUACAGGAAACGUUUACUUUAAUAUAAAAUAUGCACAGCAACAUAACCUUAAUUAAACACACACGUCUCUCAAGAUAUCAAUAAAUGUUUCCUUUUUGAUAAGUCUGAUUUAAUAGACUGUAAUAAUGGGAAUGUUUCUGAAACAUCAUUUAAGGAAGUGGGAGAAAUAAACAAGCUCAAAUAUUUAAACCUCAA
This is a non-coding RNA of Phalacrocorax carbo (great cormorant), 3168 nucleotides long. The record is from RefSeq and is a predicted model, not a curated record. Lineage: Eukaryota; Metazoa; Chordata; Aves; Suliformes; Phalacrocoracidae.